Long non-coding RNA from Varanus komodoensis (Komodo dragon), 1179 nucleotides. RefSeq lists it as uncharacterized. The record is from RefSeq and is a predicted model, not a curated record. Lineage: Eukaryota; Metazoa; Chordata; Lepidosauria; Squamata; Varanidae. The transcript has 3 exons.
GAUUCCAGGGACUGCACCUUGAACUGUUCAUAUAUCUGUGCAACUCUUUUAAGUUCAGAAGGCAACUUUAAUGAUUGAUGUGCAUGUUUGGAGAGAAAAACCCCUGCAACUCUCUGUAUGUCCCAGCCAGGCAUGGCUGAUGGGGACAUGCUGGUAGUUCUAGAAUUUCUGAUAAUUUCCUCUUACAGAAAGUAGAAAAACAAUUAGAGGAUCUGCCAUCAUUGACUUGAUUCCAAUCAACAGGGAUGACCUAGGGGAUAAUCUGUCAGUUAUGGAAAUUCUGGGGGAAAGUGACCAUGUGAUACUUGAAUUCUUGAUUCUAAAGGUAGCAAAAGCUGAAUGUAGCCAAAUGCAUAUUCUGGAUUUAAUGGAAGCCAGUUUCAAUAAUUUCAUCACAAUGAAAAGCAAGGUUAUACUGUAAGUGUCUUGAAAGAGAAAGGGAGUCCAAAAUGGGUGGGGAUGUUUGAAAAAGGAAAUUCUAGAGGUGCGAUGAAUUACAAACCAUUCCAACAAGAAAAAAGUUACCAAAAACAAAACACAACACAGAAGCUUCACAUAACACUUAAAAUUAUCUGCAAACAAAGAAGGGACUUGCAUAGAAAGUAAAGGAAGGUCAGGCUACAAAGGAAAAUUAUAGGCAGGAGGCACAGAACUGCACCAAUGGCGUCAGGAAGGCUAGUGAGGGAUGGUAAAAGCAACAAAUAGCCUUUUUCAGAUAGUGGAAGACAGAGGAAAGAAAUGGUGGUUCAGCUACUCAGUGUGGAUGGCAAAAUGAUAACAGAGAAGUGCUCAAUUCCUCAUUUAGCAGAGUCUUCUCCAAAAAGCAGGUCUAUGAAUCCCCAGCAGAAAUUAAGUACAAACUGAAGGGGCAGGAUUGAAGCUUCAGAUAAAUAAAUGGUCUUUAAAUGAGUUCAGAUCUUUCUUUGAAUGAGUUAAGAUAUCCAGAGCCUGAUGAACUGCAUCCUAGAGUAAUUAUGGCAGAAGAACUGUCAGAACUACUCUAUUAUUUUUGAGAAAUCAUGGAGGAUGGGAGAAGGGCCAGAUGGUUGAAGAAGGGUAACCUUGUCCCUGUCUUCAAAAAGGGGGAAAGGAAGUACCUGAGAACUACAGACCAGUUAAUCUGACAUCAAUUUCUGGAAAAAUUUUGGAGAAAAUUAUAAAAAAAAUUCACCUGCAAGC